Asparagus officinalis (garden asparagus) is the source of this 667-nucleotide long non-coding RNA. RefSeq lists it as uncharacterized. The record is from RefSeq and is a predicted model, not a curated record. Lineage: Eukaryota; Viridiplantae; Streptophyta; Magnoliopsida; Asparagales; Asparagaceae. The transcript has 3 exons.
CAUUAGGUCCAUCUACAAGCUCAUCAGUUCGCCUGCACCACACUGUAUAUUGACAAACAUAUGUUGCCACUUGGGAGCACAAACUUCUGGAUUGAGAAAGAUGAUGACUCAAACAAGUUUGUUAAGUAAGUACGCAGCAGAAUAUUCACAGGUAAAUUUUUUUUUUUUUUUGUUCUUUGCGCAAGGAUUGUUUGCGUGCUCAGUAUCCAGUUCGGGAAAGAUGCUUCAUAUGCUCUUUCGUCGUCGUGCUAUCACAUAAAGAAACAUCAAACAUGAGUUUGCUGGGGUCGUCUCCUUAGUGAUUUCUGAGGGAGGGGAGCCAUACAAUGUGGAGGAUAGCAUGUGGGGAAAAUCUGUGGUGGUCCUAUAUUCUAUUUAGGUUCUAAGGACGGAAGAAGGAAGGACAUGGGUUGGCGUCUGGCACAAACCUAAGGGACACGAGAUUCGGUUAGCCCCAUGCCUGGGUGAUUUCAGGAAGGAACUCAUACUGAUCGUAGCAAAAGAGCACAAUAUGAGAAUUAAGUCUUCUCGUUUCGGCUAAGGGCCCGUUUGGAUGGACGCAACUAUUAGAAGUAAGAAGUGGAUCAAAGAUGUAAUUUUCUCAAUUAUGAAGUAGAAAGUAGCGGGAGUAAUACUUAUUUUGUUUGUUUCAUAUAUUUUUAGAAGU